This 485-nucleotide ribosomal RNA is filed under the name uncultured organism. Its description in RNAcentral is "bacterial SSU rRNA". It matches the Rfam family "Bacterial small subunit ribosomal RNA", at positions 28 to 507 of the family's 1533-position model. The record is from RNAcentral.
GAUGAACGCUAGCGGCAGGCUUAACACAUGCAAGUCGAGGGGCAGCGGGGUGUAGCAAUACAUCGCCGGCGACCGGCGCACGGGUGCGUAACACGUAUGGAACCUGCCCUUUACUGGGAGAUAGCCCUCCGAAAGGAGGAUUAAUAUCCCAUAACAAAUGAGGUGGCAUCACCUUGUUUUGAAAGCUCCGGCGGUAAAGGAUGGCCAUGCGCACGAUUAGCUAGUUGGUGAGGUAACGGCUCACCAAGGCUACGAUCGUUAGGGGGCCUGAGAGGGUUAUCCCCCACACUGGUACUGAGACACGGACCAGACUCCUACGGGAGGCAGCAGUGAGGAAUAUUGCGCAAUGGAGGCAACUCUGACGCAGCCAUGCCGCGUGCAGGAAGAAGGCGCUACGCGUUGUAAACUGCUUUUAACCGGGAAGAAACCCCUUUACGUGUAAAGGGUUGACGGUACCGGAGGAAUAAGCACCGGCUAACUUCGUG